GUCUUUAUGAAAUAUUUAUGUAAAGUCUGACCUGCCCAAUGACGUUUAGUUUAAUGGCCGCGGUAUACUGACUGUGCGAAGGUAGCAUAAUAAUUAGUCUAUUAAUUGUAGACUAGAAUGAAUGGUCGAACAAAAAACUAGCUGUCUCUGAGUUAUAUCUUGAAUUUAACAUUUAAGUGAAAAGGCUUAAAUAUCUUAGGGGGACGAUAAGACCCUAUAAAUCUUUAUAUUUCGGGCUAAUUGAGUAAAAAAAUAUAAAAAAAUUUUUAGUUAAUAGUUUAAAAUAUUUUGGUGGGGUGCCAGGGGUAUAAAAUUAACUGCUUUAUAUUUGUAGUUAGUGAUAUCUAGUUAAGUGAUCCUUUAUUAUGGAUUUUAGUAUAAGUUACUUUAGGGAUAACAGCGUAAUUUCUUUUGAGAGUUCAUAUCGAAAUAGAAGUUUGCGACCUCGAUGUUGAAUUAAAGAUCCUUUGUGGUGCAGCAGUUACAAGGGGAGGUCUGUUCGACCUUUAAAUCUUU
This 516-nucleotide ribosomal RNA is filed under the name Bathyarctus chani. RNAcentral describes it as "partial 16S ribosomal RNA". It matches the Rfam family "Bacterial large subunit ribosomal RNA", at positions 1819 to 2597 of the family's 2925-position model. Lineage: Eukaryota; Metazoa; Arthropoda; Malacostraca; Decapoda; Scyllaridae. The record is from RNAcentral.